UACGUAGGGGGCAAGCGUUGUCCGGAAUCAUUGGGCGUAAAGAGCGCGUAGGCGGUCCGGUAAGUCCGCUCUGAAAGUCCGGGGCUCAACCCCGGGAGGCGGGCGGAUACUGUCGGGCUAGAGUCCGGAAGAGGCGAGUGGAAUUCCUGGUGUAGCGGUGAAAUGCGCAGAUAUCAGGAGGAACACCAAUGGCGAAGGCAGCUCGCUGGGACGGUACUGACGCUGAGGCGCGAAAGCGUGGGGAGCAAGCAGG
This 253-nucleotide ribosomal RNA is filed under the name uncultured bacterium. Its description in RNAcentral is "partial 16S ribosomal RNA". It matches the Rfam family "Bacterial small subunit ribosomal RNA", at positions 524 to 776 of the family's 1533-position model. The record is from RNAcentral.